GCAAGUCGAACGAAGCCUUCGGGCUUAGUGGCGCACGGGUGCGUAACGCGUGGGAACCUGCCUUUAGGUUCGGAAUAACUCAGAGAAAUUUGAGCUAAUACCGGAUAAUGUCUUCGGACCAAAGAUUUAUCGCCUUUAGAUGGGCCCGCGUUAGAUUAGUUUGUUGGUGAGGUAAUGGCUCACCAAGACUACGAUCUAUAGCUGGUUUGAGAGGAUGAUC
Molecule: ribosomal RNA, 220 nt
Filed under: uncultured bacterium
Lineage: Bacteria
Description: partial 16S ribosomal RNA
Rfam family: Bacterial small subunit ribosomal RNA
Source: RNAcentral